AGUAAUGUCUGGGAAACUGCCUGAUGGAGGGGGAUAACUACUGGAAACGGUAGCUAAUACCGCACAACGUCGCAAGACCAAAGUGGGGGACCUUCGGGCCUCAUGCCAUCAGAUGUGCCCAGAUGGGAUUAGCUAGUAGGUGGGGUAACGGCUCACCUAGGCGACGAUCCCUAGCUGGUCUGAGAGGAUGACCAGCCACACUGGAACUGAGACACGGUCCAG
Molecule: ribosomal RNA, 222 nt
Filed under: uncultured bacterium
Lineage: Bacteria
Description: partial 16S ribosomal RNA
Rfam family: Bacterial small subunit ribosomal RNA
Source: RNAcentral